This 27-nucleotide small RNA is filed under the name Bombyx mori (domestic silkworm). Its description in RNAcentral is "ovarian small RNA-9396". Lineage: Eukaryota; Metazoa; Arthropoda; Insecta; Lepidoptera; Bombycidae. The record is from RNAcentral.
UUAGAACCAGCGUGGGUCGAGGAUAGC